GCCCCUCUAAUAUACCCUUUAAAUAAGAAAAUAUUUAAGGAACAUCUUGUAUGUGCCAGGCACUAUGGCAGGUAUUUUAUAAUAUUAUCUCAAAUCCUUACAGCAAUUCCUCAAGGCAGAUACACUGCAUUCUGUACAUUUGAACAAAUUGAGACUUGGAGAGGUUGUAACUUGGUCAAGAUCACGCAAGUAGCAAGUAGAAAAACUAAGAUUUAUAUACAAGUUUUUUAGGCUUCCAAGCACACUCCCAUUUCAUUAGGGUCCACCACCAAAAUACAGGUUUAUUGAAACAAAGGUGGAAGUUCCAACACUUAACCCCACAGCUGCCUGACCACCCCAUUGCCCUCCUCCUCCUCCAUUUUACAACCCAUGUUCCUUUCUUACCCCCAGCUGCUCUACAGCCAAUGGAGAGAAAGACAGCAUCACCCUGAUCUCCAUGAAGAAUAUCAACAUGAAUAACAGCAAAGGAUGCCCCACAGCAGAGAAGGUUCUUUAGAAGCAAUGUUGGGUCCCCAUGGGUCAAAGGAUGACGCAGCUGCCCUAUGUCUGUAAAGAGGAAGGCGAUGGAAGUGGUAGAGGCACGAACCACAUAUAAAUUAUUUUAUUAUUUCACACUUACUCCAAGAUCUAAAAGGACACUGGCAUUCCUCCAGAUCUAGGAGCAAGCUGCCAGUAUGAGAGACUCUUUCCCAUAUGGGCAGCCACUCUGGAAACACAGCCUGCUCCUCCCACCUGCUCACCGUCACAGGAAGGGGGAGUCUGGAGAGCAAGAGCAAGGAAAAUGACAAAGUGGAGUGGCCUUUGCUACUUUGCAUUAAAAUUAUUUUCUGGCCGACGGUCUAAUUUCUUUUAA
Non-coding RNA from Leptonychotes weddellii (Weddell seal), 853 nucleotides. NCBI's taxonomy places the organism in Eukaryota, Metazoa, Chordata, Mammalia, Carnivora, Phocidae. The record is from RefSeq and is a predicted model, not a curated record.